UACAGAGGUCUCAAGCGUUGUUCGGAUUCAUUGGGCGUAAAGGGUGCGUAGGUGGCGCGGUAAGUCGGGUGUGAAAUCUCGGAGCUUAACUCCGAAAUUGCAUUCGAUACUGCCGUGCUCGAGGACUGGAGAGGAGACUGGAAUUCAUGGUGUAGCAGUGAAAUGCGUAGAGAUCAUGAGGAAGACCAGUGGCGAAGGUGGGUCUCUGGACAGUUCCUGACACUGAGGCACGAAGGCCAGGGGAGCAAACGGG
RNAcentral lists this ribosomal RNA (253 nucleotides) under uncultured bacterium. RNAcentral describes it as "partial 16S ribosomal RNA". It matches the Rfam family "Bacterial small subunit ribosomal RNA", at positions 524 to 776 of the family's 1533-position model. The record is from RNAcentral.